GACGAACGCUGGCGGCGUGCUUAACACAUGCAAGUCGAACGAUGAUCAGGAGCUUGCUCCUGUGAUUAGUGGCGAACGGGUGAGUAACACGUGAGUAACCUGCCCCUGACUCUGGGAUAAGCGUUGGAAACGACGUCUAAUACUGGAUACGACUGCCGGCCGCAUGGUCUGGUGGUGGAAAGAUUUUUUGGUUGGGGAUGGACUCGCGGCCUAUCAGCUUGUUGGUGAGGUAUGGCUCACCAAGGCGACGACGGGUAGCCGGCCUGAGAGGGUGACCGGCCACACUGGGACUGAGACACGGCCCAGACUCCUACGGGAGGCAGCAGUGGGGAAUAUUGCACAAUGGGCGAAAGCCUGAUGCAGCAACGCCGCGUGAGGGACGACGGCCUUCGGGUUGUAAACCUCUUUUAGUAGGGAAGAAGCGAAAGUGACGGUACCUGCAGAAAAAGCACCGGCUAACUACGUGCCAGCCGCCGCAGUAA
This 482-nucleotide ribosomal RNA is filed under the name uncultured bacterium. RNAcentral describes it as "partial 16S ribosomal RNA". It matches the Rfam family "Bacterial small subunit ribosomal RNA", at positions 28 to 523 of the family's 1533-position model. The record is from RNAcentral.